CGACGGCAUAAACUUGAACUUCAACAUGAAGCUGUGUCUGAAGAGCAACAAAAGCUGCAUGCCGAGUUGCCCGAGCAAACUCCGCAGACGGAGAUCUGGACGGCGUCUGUUUGAAGACAAGAAACCAGCCCAAGUCUCCAUGUCCUGGACUUAGGUUGUUUCCAUCUUGGAGUGACUGACCGGCCGUCGACCUUCAGAAUGAUUCGCCCCAUAUCUACAGUCUCUUCAUGUGAGCUCCAUUAUCACUGGUGUGAAGUCGUGAUAAAACAACCAC
Epinephelus fuscoguttatus (brown-marbled grouper) is the source of this 274-nucleotide long non-coding RNA. RefSeq lists it as uncharacterized. The transcript is spliced from 3 exons. The record is from RefSeq and is a predicted model, not a curated record. Lineage: Eukaryota; Metazoa; Chordata; Actinopteri; Perciformes; Serranidae.